This 380-nucleotide ribosomal RNA is filed under the name uncultured eukaryote. RNAcentral describes it as "SSU rRNA". It matches the Rfam family "Eukaryotic small subunit ribosomal RNA", at positions 587 to 972 of the family's 1831-position model. The record is from RNAcentral. RNAcentral also lists the same sequence under 1 other name.
AGCUCCAGUAGCGUAUAUUAAAGCUGUUGCAGUUAAAAAGCUCGUAGUUGGAUCUUGGGCCCAGGCCUGCGGUCCGCCGUGAGGCGAGUACUGCAGUCCUGGCCUUCCUCUCGGUUUUCGCCCGGUGCUCUUAACUGAGUGCCAGGAGAGGCCGGAACGUUUACUUUGAAAAAAUUGGAGUGUUCAAAGCAGGCCUCGCGCCUGAACAGCAGAGCAUGGAAUAAUGGAAUAGGACCUCGGUUCUAUUGCGUUGGUUUUCGGAACUCGAGGUAAUGAUUAAGAGGGACUGACGGGGGCAUUCGUAUUGCGGUGUGAGAGGUGAAAUUCUUGGAUCGCCGCAAGACGACCGACUGCGAAAGCAUUUGCCAAGAAUGUUUUCA